Molecule: ribosomal RNA, 495 nt
Filed under: uncultured bacterium
Lineage: Bacteria
Description: partial 16S ribosomal RNA
Rfam family: Bacterial small subunit ribosomal RNA
Source: RNAcentral
GACGAACGCUGGCGGCGUGCCUAAUACAUGCAAGUAGAACGCUGAAGGAGGAGCUUGCUUCUCUGGAUGAGUUGCGAACGGGUGAGUAACGCGUAGGUAACCUGCCUGGUAGCGGGGGAUAACUAUUGGAAACGAUAGCUAAUACCGCAUAAGAGUUGAUGUUGCAUGACAUUUGCUUAAAAGGUGCAAUUGCAUCACUACCAGAUGGACCUGCGUUGUAUUAGCUAGUUGGUGAGGUAACGGCUCACCAAGGCAACGAUACAUAGCCGACCUGAGAGGGUGAUCGGCCACACUGGGACUGAGACACGGCCCAGACUCCUACGGGAGGCAGCAGUAGGGAAUCUUCGGCAAUGGACGGAAGUCUGACCGAGCAACGCCGCGUGAGUGAAGAAGGUUGUCGGAUCGUAAAGCUCUGUUGUAAGAGAAGAACGAGUGUGAGAGUGGAAAGUUCACACUGUGACGGUAUCUUACCAGAAAGGGACGGCUAACUACGUG